Scatophagus argus is the source of this 713-nucleotide long non-coding RNA. RefSeq lists it as uncharacterized. The transcript has 5 exons. The record is from RefSeq and is a predicted model, not a curated record. NCBI's taxonomy places the organism in Eukaryota, Metazoa, Chordata, Actinopteri, Scatophagidae.
CAUUGCUGACUGUCGCCUCAAAAGUAGCUUUGUUCUUCUUCGACUCAGAGUGCACGCUGGUAGAAAUUCCUCGGCAAACACGUUAAUCUCGCGCCCUCUUGCGGCUGAAUGAGGGAGAAGCAGAGCCUUGGAUCUGCUGUUUGUGUAACCACCUGCAGGUUCGGCCCACUGGGUCACAUCCUAUUGGUCAGCGCGUUGCCUGGAGACACAUGAUUGGACAGGAUUUGCUUAGCUCGCGGCUCCCGGAAACAAAAUGUACACAUGAAUAGAUUGUGUAAGAGUCCCGUUGUGCUCCCAGCUAACAUUUGCAGCGAUGCCGACGUCUCCUGUUAAAACGCGGAUCCCCCUCACCAGUUUCGGCCAUCUCAUAACGGAGGUGAAGAGACAGCUGUUUCGUAUAGAGGCCCCCUCUUCCGUGGAACUGACUGGUUGGAGGAAAUACUUAAAUAGCUACACUCUGCAGGGCCGACGAAAUUGUGUCUUGCUCACUUACGGGAUCGUUGCUGUAACGGCAGCUGCCUACUUCGUGCACAGACAAACCAAACAAGAACACCAAGAAAAGCAGGCGUCCAGCUCCGUGGCCUGAAAUACUGAAAUCCUCUCUAUUCACUUAGCAUUAUUUCUGAACAGAAGAAACAGAAGGAGUCACUCACUGGCAGGAGUGCGAUCAGGUUUAAAACUGUGCUUUGUUAAUAAAUGCCAUGCAAAUGUUU